GUGGAUUAGAUACCCUAGUAGUCCGCACCGUAAACGGUGGGCACUAGUUGUGGGAACCUUCCACGGUUUCCGCGACGCAGCAAACGCAUUAAGUGCCCCGCCUGGGGAGUACGAUCGCAAGAUUAAAACUCAAAGGAAUUGACGGGGCCCCGCACAAGCAGCGGAGCAUGCGGCUUAAUUCGACGCAACGCGAAGAACCUUACCAAGGCUUGACAUAUAGCGAAAAGUGGCAGAGAUGUCAUGUCCGCAAGGGCGCUAUACAGGUGGUGCACGGUUGUCGACAGCU
This 286-nucleotide ribosomal RNA is filed under the name uncultured bacterium. RNAcentral's name for it is "partial 16S ribosomal RNA". It matches the Rfam family "Bacterial small subunit ribosomal RNA", at positions 773 to 1060 of the family's 1533-position model. The record is from RNAcentral.